This 505-nucleotide ribosomal RNA is filed under the name uncultured bacterium. Its description in RNAcentral is "partial 16S ribosomal RNA". It matches the Rfam family "Bacterial small subunit ribosomal RNA", at positions 28 to 507 of the family's 1533-position model. The record is from RNAcentral.
GACGAACGCUGGCGGCGUGCCUAAUACAUGCAAGUAGAGCGCACAGUUUAUACCGUAGCUUGCUACACCAUAGACUGUGAGUUGCGAACGGGUGAGUAACGCGUAGGUAACCUGCCUGGUAGCGGGGGAUAACUAUUGGAAACGAUAGCUAAUACCGCAUAAUAUUAAUUAUUGCAUGAUAAUUAAUUGAAAGGUGCAAUUGCACCACUACCAGAUGGACCUGCGUUGUAUUAGCUAGUAGGUGAGGUAACGGCUCACCUAGGCGACGAUACAUAGCCGACCUGAGAGGGUGAUCGGCCACACUGGGACUGAGACACGGCCCAGACUCCUACGGGAGGCAGCAGUAGGGAAUCUUCGGCAAUGGACGAAAGUCUGACCGAGCAACGCCGCGUGAGUGAAGAAGGGUUUCGGAUCGUAAAGAUCUGUUGUAAGAGAAGAACGGGGGUGAGAGUGGAAAGUUCACACUGUGACGGUAUCUUACCAGAAAGGGACGGCUAACUACGUG